CCAAAUCCACGCCCAAUCCCCGCCACCAGACCGCCGCCGCCACCAAACCUUCCCACCACCGAAGCGCACUGCCGCCCCCAAAUCUUCGCACCGCCGUCGCGCGCUGCCGCCCCCAAAGCUUCCCACCGCCGCUGCGCGGCCGCCUUCCACUUAGUCCACCGCCGGCAUAGCCACUCACCAUCGCAACCCCUCUGCCUCCCACAAAUCGAGACCCUCCACAGGACUGCAAGGCCUCCGCCCCCAACCAUCCCACCACCGACGGAAGCUCUCCAACCGAGCACUUCCGCCGUCGCCCUCCAUCACGGCAGCCCCUCCGCCCCUCCGCCGCCCCCAACAACCAACCCACUGCUGCCGACCACUACUGUCCACUAUUGUCGUCGCCUCACUCCAUAGCGGCACCGCCGAGCACCCGAUUGACACGGAGCAGCACCAUCGUCGCUGAGCCACCCCACCGGCGGCCACCAUCCUCGCCACCAACCUACUCACGCACUUACUCCUCGAGCAGGCCUCCCCGAAAGUUUCACCGAGCACCAAGCCGCGGGUCCGCCUCCUCCACACGUGCCCCCGAAGCAGCAGGUCGUCGACCCUCUCCUCAACAUCCUUUCCGUGGACUUCACUGCCUCCUAUACUUCAUUUGACAGGCAAUUUUAGUUAAAUUGGUCAAGAAUGGAUAAGAGUGGGAUGGGGAUUACGAUGAGAUGCUCAAUCUUAGUGACCAUGAUGAGGUUCAACCUGAUGAUGUUCAAGAGGAGAUCGACCUAGAUGAUUACGAUGAGAUGCUCGAGUUCUUAGGUCCCAAACGACUAGAGAUGUUGAUGACAUGCCAAGUGACGACAUUGAAGAGCAUGAAGACCAUGAGUUGGAUCAAGAAACGAAGGGGAAGAAGGAAAAAAAAGCACUAGAAUGCACAAUGUGUAUGAUUUCUGAUGUACUAUGUUGUGGAUGACAAACUGAAGGAUUGGCUAAUGGGAAGCGCUGUGAUGUAUCACAUGGCCAUACAAGCAUUUGGAAGUGGACAAGUCCAUGACGAAAGCAGGAAUGCGACCACAAGCAAGCUGAGAUUUCCCUACAGAGUUGAUGGAGCUUUGGAAGAUCUUCAAUCUGCUGAAGAGUUCGGAGAUUUGGAAGAUCUUCAAGCUAGUGAAGAUUUGGUAGACCUAUAAUUAAGUUCGUAGAGUGAUUAUGACACUUGCUCUGCUCAUUUUGCUGGUUGUUAAGCCAGUAUAUGCUCAUUUUGCUUGUGUGACACACCCUAGAAACAUAUGUACUCCUUUUGUGGCACACAUUUAGAAACAUGAUGUAUUGUACCUUUUGUGGCACGACCAACUUAUACAUAUGGCUAUUAUGUUAAUUUAUCGAAUCAACUUUAAGGUUC
This is a long non-coding RNA of Triticum dicoccoides, 1375 nucleotides long. RefSeq lists it as uncharacterized. The transcript has 6 exons. The record is from RefSeq and is a predicted model, not a curated record. NCBI's taxonomy places the organism in Eukaryota, Viridiplantae, Streptophyta, Magnoliopsida, Poales, Poaceae.